This is a long non-coding RNA of Macadamia integrifolia, 1154 nucleotides long. RefSeq lists it as uncharacterized. The record is from RefSeq and is a predicted model, not a curated record. The transcript has 2 exons. Lineage: Eukaryota; Viridiplantae; Streptophyta; Magnoliopsida; Proteales; Proteaceae.
UCGAUUUGGUGAUGAAUCGCCCAUUAUGGCAUUGCCAUGGCGGUGAAAUCGCCCAUGUGCCAUUUUUUAUUUUCCCUAUUUUCUAAAGUUAUUUAGUAUGCUACUUUUUUAUUUCUCCUAUUUUCUAAGAAUGUAGACAAUAGACAAGUAUUUUAAUCCAUCCAAAUCAAAAGAUAAAGACAUUGUUGAGAAAUAAUAGAAAAUGAUUCCUUCCAUCCUACAUCAAUAAUUGCACAAGACCACAUUGAAUUGACAAGUGGGGGAAAAAAGAUGCACACAGGCCAACAAGACAUUAUUAUAAAUUUGUAAAAAAAUUUAUAUGAAACAACAUAUAUCAUAGAUUCACAGGAAACAUGGUUAAAAUAUGUUGCAACAGAAUAGAACUAGAAACUUAUAUGAGCCAACAUAUAUCAUAGAUUCCAAUGGAUUUUUCCCCUAGCACAUAGACUUACCUUGCUUAAUAUUAAUACAAUCCACAAUACAGAACAUGGUUCUUAAUCAUGGAAAAUCUGGUAAUUGAAGACCACAAUUUGACAAUCAUGACUGCUAGAAAAUUUGCAUCAAUGAAAAAGACAAUACAAGUAUACAACAUCACCAAAAAAAAAAAAAAAAAAAAACCAAGGAAAUCAGAACAGAGAAAGAUUUAUGUUCUGUGUGAGUGAACUAAGGAAGAGGAAGAAGAAGAUGAAGAAGAAGAUUAGAAGAAGAGAAGAGACUGAUUACUGAUUAGUAGUAGAAAAAGGGGGGGAAAAAGAGGUGAAGACUUUGAAGAGUCAAACAAACCAGACUCUGUAGGGUCAUGGAAGAAGAAGGUUAGAAGAGGAGAAGAGGAGAAGAGGAGAAGAAGAGAAGAAGCCAGAGGCAAGGAAGAAGAAGGUUAGAAGAAGAGAAGAAGAGUCGAACAUACCUAUCUUCGCUGGAGCACAGAAGCAGCAAUGUCGGAGCAGGAACAGCUAUCGCCGGAGCAAAAUAACAGAACAAAAAGAUUUCUAUUCUUUGUGAGUGAACUAAGGAAGAGGAAGAAGAAGAUUAGAAGAAGAGAAGAGACUGAUUACUGAUUAAUAGUAGAAAAUGGGGAAAAAAAAAGAGAGAUGAAGACUUUGAAGAGUCAAACAAACCAGACUUUGUAGGGUCAAGGAGGAAGAAGGUUAGAA